CCGGUCCUGGCCCCAUGGCACCAGAGCCAGACCGAGGCUCCUGCGGUGGAGGACUGGGUUCAGCACUCCAAGGAGACCUGGAAAGCAGUACAGGACUCACUGAGGGAGGCCAGUGCUAGGCAGAAAAGGAGUGCUGACCGCCACCACAGUGAGGCGCCGGUGUUCGCACCGGGUGACAGGGUCUGGCUCUCGACCCGGAACCUGUCCCUCCGCGUGCCCUGCCGGAAGCUGGGGCCGCAGUGUGUGGGGCCCUUCAAAGUCCUGAGGAGGAUAAACGAGAAAAAAGCAAAAAGUGACCAGCUUCCAGACCAAAAUGCCAUUUAUUCAGUCAGAGAAUUCUAAGAGCCAGAGUCAGAGAGUCCUGUAGUAACAGGAGCGGUCGAGGACAGCGUACCCCUUACGAGACCCACAUGUACGAGAUUAAAAAGUGUUAUAAACCAAAUAAAAAUGUUUGCGUCUUGACAGCCCCACCGUGG
Molecule: long non-coding RNA, 476 nt
Filed under: Salmo salar (Atlantic salmon)
Lineage: Eukaryota; Metazoa; Chordata; Actinopteri; Salmoniformes; Salmonidae
Description: lncRNA (ENSSSAG00000084671.1, ENSSSAG00000093357.1, ENSSSAG00020058889.1, ENSSSAG00075032092.1)
Source: RNAcentral